GAAAUGCGAUAAGUAAUGUGAAUUGCAGAAUUCAGUGAAUCAUCGAAUCUUUGAACGCAUCUUGCGCUCCUUGGUAUUCCUUGGAGCAUGCCUGUUUGAGUAUCAUGAAGUCUUCAAAGUAAAUCUUUUGUUAACUCAAUUGGUUUCUACUUUGGUAUUGGAGGUCUUUGCAGCUUCACACCUGCUCCUCUUUGUUCAUUAGCUGGAUCUCAGUGUUAUGCUUGGUUCCACUCGGCGUGAUAAGUUAUCUAUCGCUGAGGACACUGUAAAAGGUGGCCAAGGUAAAUGCAGAUGAACCGCUUCUAAUAGUCCAUUGACUUGGACAAUACUUUUAUGAUCUGAUCUCAAAUCAGGUAGGACUACCCGCUGAACUUAAGC
This 378-nucleotide unclassified non-coding RNA is filed under the name plant metagenome. RNAcentral describes it as "partial contains 5.8S ribosomal RNA, internal transcribed spacer 2, and large subunit ribosomal RNA". The stretch from base 1 to 105 matches the Rfam family "5.8S ribosomal RNA", at positions 50 to 154 of the family's 154-position model. The record is from RNAcentral.